This is a long non-coding RNA of Ictalurus punctatus (channel catfish), 4027 nucleotides long. RefSeq lists it as uncharacterized. Lineage: Eukaryota; Metazoa; Chordata; Actinopteri; Siluriformes; Ictaluridae. The transcript has 3 exons. The record is from RefSeq and is a predicted model, not a curated record.
UUAGGAACACCGCCGGUUAUUAAAGUCCGUUAAAUCAAAGCUAAUUCAGCUAGCUACAAAAAAUAAUAAUAAAAUCUCAUUCUGUCCUGCGUCUCUCCUGUCAGCUGCGUGACUCGGGUUAAAAAUAUAAGCGGGUAACGAUGACAUUACGUCAGAACCAGCUAACUCGGAUUUAAUCAAUCUUGAACGCUAUGAGGGAGAAAUAGCAGCGUUAGCGUCGCAUGCUAACGCUAACAGGUCGGUUAGUUAGUUCGUUAGUUUUAUUCGGUUACGCUUGAUUUCAGCUCGAUGUGUGUGUGUGCGCUCGCGCGUGUGUUUUCAAAGAGUGAACGCGUCGCUGGAUGCUGAAAAACUUUCAGACCGAGUCACUGGCACGCAAGUACCGCGUCAACACACGUCAGCGACCCGGGGAGCCAUUAAAACUCCGCCAUCUCCGAGCAGCAGCAGCAGCGCCCGGAACCGCCGCCAUUACAGCGCCGUCCCGCCUGAGCAGAGCCUCACGAGCAUGUUAGCCUCGACCGAGAGAAAGCGCGCGCACACACACACACUCACACGCGCGCGCGCAGCUACCUUUAACAGCUCCUUUAAUCCGCCGUCGAUGUUCCUCAGAUGUCGGUUAUCCAGAUGUGACGUAAAAAUAAGGCUGUCUUAACGCCCCGCCCACUAGAAAGAUGUGUGACGUCAUCCCAGCAAAGGCGUUCUGAUUGGUCGCACUGCACAGUACUCUACAGUCAAGUCUGUCUUAACAAAAAAAAAAAAAGUUGUUUGUUUUCCUUCGACAGCACGUCACCAAGUGUUUUAUUCCUCUUCUACCACAGGGACCUGACAACGAUAGCCAUACUCGCCAUACUCCGUCGAUACUCCAUCGAUACUCCAUACUCGUCGCCACCGGGAUAAAUUCACACAUUUAAAAUCUGAAUCCCGUGUUUAUAUGUUCUGUAAAGCUGCUUUGAGACAGUGUCCAUUGUAAAAAGCGCUAUACAAAUAAAACCGAAUUGAAUACUUUUUUAAUUUGUUAAAGUUAAGUUAAAAUAUGUUACUUUUAUAGUUGCUGCCUGAAGUACACAGCUUGUCACGUUACUGAGAAACCGCAAGGAAGUGUUGUAAACUCCUCUGUCCUGAAGAUGUGGGAAAACUUACAGCUUCACCUCUGACACUGGAGAUUCCUUCCGUAGACGUCAGAUACAGGUCUUCUCACAAAAUUUGAACGAUCGCACACAUUCGUCCGCUAUAUACGUCCCUGCGAAGGAGCUGUUGCUCUAGAACGAGCGCAUUAAUAUGAACCUGUCAUAAAUUGAUAUGAAAAAUAAAUGCUGUCAGAGCUGCCGUUAUAGAAAAUUAAUCAACACCUGACGACCAAUCAGAAGGUGGAAUAAUAAUAAAAAAGCUUCAAACUGUCAUCGUGUGUGAUCGUGAUAUCGUUGGGUGUCAGGAUUACAGUAAUGAUGAAUUGUAAACUUGUAAUUAUCUGUAAGAAACGAGUAAUUUUUCAAAAAGAUCCGACUUUUAAAAAAAAAAAAAAAAAAAUUUCCAAGAAACACACAGAACGUGGAGCGAAGUAUCUAAUUUAUAUAUUAAGAACAUAAAAUCUGCUGCUAAUCUGUGUUACUUAUACUUAAUUACAAAUAACUUGAUUGAAAAAAAUAGGCAUCACCUGACUACUGAGAAACAAAAGAUGGGUGAAACACUUAUUAGCAAGAUAACAAGAAACUUGUUAGGGUUUUGUGUGUGUGUGUGUGUGUGUGUGUGUGUGUGUGUGUGUGUGUGUUUAGCCCCGCCCCCUUGUGUAAACGUCAAUUCACCACAAACUUACCAGUCACGUAAAAAUGGUAGCGUCUCUGAAAUGUUUAAACUUCUUGAUUCCUUUCCUCUGUGUGAUGUGAUUCUUGUCGUGUCCUGUUUGUUGUUCUUGUACGGUUCCUGAAGAAGCCCCGCCCUUCUCCAUUCCUGUUCAGGUGAAGAUGUGCUACCUCAUGCUCACAGAACUCAUUAUCUGAUGCACACGAGGGCUGGGUGAUACGACCAUACAGUAUCGAUAUCGUGAUCAAUUCUGUCACAAUACGCUUUCCUGAGAUUAUAUUCUUCAGGAUCAUUUUCAGCCUGGAUUCUUCUAGUUUAUGCUUUUUUUAAUGAAAAAUAACAUUAAUUGCAUCUUUAAUUUACUAAUUCAUUAAAGAAAGGAUCAUAUCAACUUGACACUGGGUAAAAAAAAAAAAAACUGAGGUAAUUCAGGGAAGAUAACUUGUCAUCAAUCUCUAGGGGGCGCUGUGGUGCACGUUUUUGCAGCGCUCCUGAACAAUUAAACUCAGAAUCAAACUUGAUCUUUAUUUAAAUUUUAAGCUUCAGGUCACAAAAAUUGGCCAUGUGGAAUUUCAAGCUCCACCCACAUAGACUUUCACUGUUUAAAACUUUUUUUCAAAAAUGAUAUUUUUCUUAAAAUCUUGACAAAUCCAAGGUCAAACUACUCAGCGGAAUCUGUAGAAAACAUAUAUUUUUUGUGAUGUCAUACUGUCAUACCCCCAAAACAUUUAGUGGCCGUGGCUAGUUCACCCAAACACUAAAUCCUCCAGUUUUCAUCUGAUCCGUACCAAACCUGGCACACAGGUACACGGCGAGGCCCUAAAGCCGAGCCCGGACGAACACCCGUGUAAAUUUCGCACUAAAUCACCGACGAUGCUCGACUCCGCUCUUCAAUGAGGAUAACUGUGGAAACGUUUUAUAGUGUGAACGAUCUUCAUGUGAUCUCCACAGUUCUCCACAAGGUGGUGGAAUGUAUUUCAAUGAAUUUUUAUGAUGUACUAAGAAUUUUAAUGAUUGUUUAAGCUCUUUGUUCAGAAAACAAAUGACGUUGUGGGAACCGACGUAUAGAUGUAAAGAACAGGACCAACGAUGUGAAAUAAUAUCUUUCACAUUUCAUUUUGAAUGGGAAACAGACUGAGAAUGCUAAAAUACUGUUUUCAAGUUUACAUUAAGGAUAAACUCAUACAUUUAAAAUCUAUAUCAUGAAAUUAUAUGUUUCUGUAAAGCUGCUUUGGGACAGUGUCAACUGUUCAAAUAAACUCGUGAACUCGGCCCAAGUCAGCAUGCUGUAUAAAUAGCAUUGGGCCAGUAGGGGGCGCUAUAACGUGGGAAUAACUGCAGUGUAUCACUGUGGAUCAGUCUGGAGUCACUGUACAGCCAUUUCUGUUUUGUUUGUUUGUUUUUUCAGACGUCACUUUUAUAAGUCUUCACCAUGUUUGAUGUUUGUUGGUCUCCAACUUCUUCACAUUUUCUUUUCUGCAGUAUAAUUACUGUCAUUAUAAUUCAGAUUCCAAACCUUCAGGCUACUUCACCACUCUGUAACACAUGAAUGCUGCAAAAUAAAUGCCUUUUAUUCUUUUUUUUUCCAUUUAAAUAUAAAAUAGGAAUUAAACCAAUGUACAAAAUGAAACAGGAGAAAGUGAACAGGGAGGAGAGGGUUGCAUAAUAAUCAUGACGUGCACAUUCAUACACCGCAAUAUAGUGGCACGAAAUCAUCAUCAUUAUUAUUAUUAUUAUUAGUAGUAGUAGUAGUAGUAGUAGUAGUAUUAUUAAAUUAAAACACAAGAGAAGAAUCUUAUCAGGUCAUGGGCUGUGUCUCAAACGGUGUACCUUUAGUGUGAACAGUGUGAUCACAUGAUGUCCUAAAGCUGUAGAAAAGUGUUCUAUAGUUUAGUGCAAAAUCUUUGAUUUAUUUAUAACGUGAUCUGAGACGUUACUGUAUUAGUACUGCUACUGUAGUGUAUAGUGCAGAUUCCUGAUCUAGUGCUCUGUGUGUGUGUGUGUGUGUGUUUGUUAGCGUAUCCCACAAUGCAACACGCUCAUUUCAUUUUAUCAGGAAAAGGCGGGAAAGCCUUUUCUGCAGGGUUGCCAGGUUCAGGAAUUUUAAGUCCUUUAGAUGAUUAAUAUCUCUAUAGAGGGUAUGCGCUGGCGUCACUUUCCCACCGGGACACGCCCCCUCGGCCGACUGAGCGGCAAAACAUCCAGCAAGAUGGCUGGAUUUAAUAGG